ACACACACACACACACACACAGACAGAGAGAGAGAGAGAGAGGGAGAGAGAGAUGGAUGCACCCCUUCCAGAGUAAUAAUAUUAGGGUCGGCCUGACUACUUUACUAAACAUGUGACCACGCUGUGUCGAUGCUCACAGCUCCAGUGCCGCUUCACAGAAGCAGAACAUCUAAAGCAGCACAGCCAGCCAGUAGGUAAGCCAAGAUGGACCUGAAGGAUCAGGGCGCUCAAAUGGAGCCGCUGCUUCCCACGGUAAUAACACCUUCCCGAGGAAGAAGUGUGAGAGGUGAUGAGGAAGCAGUGGUGGACAGAGGAGGCACUCGCUCUAUGCUGAAGGCCAAUUUAGAACAAGAGGAGCUAGAAGGUCACAGAACAUUGUAUAUCGGGGUACAUGUGCCUCUGGGACGCCGAAGCCACAGACGCCACCGCCAUCACGGCCAUAGACACAGGAAGAGAAGCAGGGAGAGAGACUCAGGAGUGUGUGAUGGACGAGAAUCACCUGCAUAUGACACACCCUCUCAGAGGGUUCAGUUUCUGCUGGGAACUGAAGAUGAUGAUGAAGAGCACAUUCCACAUGACCUCUUCACUGAGCUGGAUGAAAUCUGUCUGCGUGAUGGAGAGGAUGCUGAGUGGAGGGAGACAGCUAGAUGGCUGAAGUUUGAGGAGGAUGUGGAGGAUGGAGGGGAGAGGUGGAGUAAGCCUUAUGUGGCCACACUCUCUCUGCACAGCUUAUUUGAGUUGCGCAGCUGCAUCAUCAAUGGCACAGUGCUGCUCGACAUGAGGGCCAACUCCCUAGAGGACAUUGCAGACAUGGUGUUGGACCAACAGGAAGCAUUGGGGGAGCUUGGAGAGGAAGUGAGAAAGAAAGUCCGAGAGGCCCUGCUCAAGCAGCACCACCAUCAAAACCAGAAGAAGCUGGCCAACCGUAUUCCUAUAGUACGCUCUUUUGCUGACAUCGGCAAGAAACAGUCCGAAUCUAACUCUAUGGACAAGAACGGUGGCUCAUCUUUCUGUUCAGCCCUUAAGUCUUCUCUUUGGGGUUCAUUUAACUCUGAUGGGAGGUGUAGGCAGGUGUCUUCCUGCUGGCCUCAGUGCUGCACUUCCAGUGUCUCCAUCUCGUCUCCACUCCCCCAAUCGUCCACCUCCACCUCCACCAACCGAGCUCACACACACAUCUCACUGCGAUCCUCACGACAGGCACACAGUGACCCGGACCCAGGCCAGAUGAUCCUUCCUCAGACCCAGCCUAGUGCACAUGACCUCAAACCAGAGGUCACAAGAGACUGCAGUAGUGUGGAUUUCAGUAAGAUAGACCUGCACUUCAUGAAGAAGAUCCCUGCUGGAGCUGAGGCCUCUAAUAUCCUGGUAGGAGAGCUGGAAUUCUUGGAGAAACCUGUAGUGGCGUUUGUACGUCUCUCACCUGCUGUCCUUCUUAAUGGCCUGGCAGAAGUUCCCAUAACCACCAGAUUCCUCUUCAUUCUUCUCGGGCCUCUGGGUAAAGGAUCACAGUACCAUGAGAUCGGCAGGUCCAUCGCAACUCUGAUGACUGAUGAGGUCUUCCAUGAUGUUGCAUAUAAAGCCAAGGACCGCAAUGAUCUGGUGGCUGGAAUUGAUGAGUUCCUUGACCAAGUAACAGUACUACCCCCUGGUGAAUGGGACCCGUCUAUCAGAAUCGAGCCUCCGAAAAAUGUCCCUUCUCAGGAGAAGAGAAAAAUCCCUGCUGUCCCCAACGGAGAGCUGGCAGAGACUGAGAAACAUGGGGGGCAUGGAGGCCCUGAGCUACAGCACACCGGGAGGCUGUUUGGUGGAUUUAUUAUGGAUAUAAAGCGCAAGGCACCACAUUACCUAUCUGACUACACAGAUGCCAUCAGCCUGCAAUGUGUGGCUUCUUUCCUCUUCCUCUACUGUGCCUGCAUGUCUCCUGUCAUCACCUUCGGCGGACUACUGGGGGAGGCCACAGACGGACGCAUUAGUGCUAUUGAGUCUCUGUUUGGUGCAUCGAUGACUGGAAUCGCUUACUCCCUGUUUGCGGGCCAGCCUCUCACCAUCCUUGGAAGCACUGGUCCUGUGCUGGUUUUUGAGAAGAUUUUAUUCAAAUUCUGCAAGGAGUAUGGGUUGUCCUAUCUGUCUCUGAGGACAUGCAUUGGCCUUUGGACUGCUUUCCUCUGUCUGCUGCUGGUGGCUACUGAUGCCAGCUCACUCGUUUGCUACAUCACUCGUUUUACAGAAGAAGCCUUCGCCUCUCUCAUCUGCAUCAUUUUCAUCUAUGAGGCUCUGGAGAAGCUGAUCCACCUCGGCGAAACCUACCCUUUCAAUAUGAACAACAACCUUGAGAAACUCACCACCUAUUCUUGUGCUUGUGUAGAGCCAGUGAACCCCAGCAAUGCCACCCUGCAGUACUGGGAACAGAAUAACAUCACAGCAUCAGAAAUCUACUGGGAGGCUCUGGAAGUGAAGGACUGCAUAGAGAAGAAGGGGGUGUUUGUGGGCUCAGCCUGUGGGCCUCAUGGUCCCUACAUCCCUGAUGUGCUCUUCUGGUCUGUUGUGCUCUUCUUCUCCACUGUGGCCAUGUCUGCUUUCCUUAAAGAAUUCAAGACCAGCCGAUACUUUCCCACCAAGGUCAGAUCAAUCAUCAGUGAUUUUGCUGUGUUUAUUACCAUUCUGACCAUGGUUCUGGUGGACUAUGCGUUAGGUGUUCCUUCACCCAAACUGCAGGUCCCCAGCAAGUUUAAGCCAACACGAGAUGACCGAGGUUGGUUUAUUAACCCUUUGGGUCCGAACCCCUGGUGGACUUGCAUCAUAACAGUGAUCCCUGCUCUCCUCUGUACCAUCCUCAUCUUCAUGGACCAGCAGAUCACUGCAGUCAUCAUUAACAGGAAGGAACACAAACUUAAGAAAGGCUGUGGUUACCACCUGGACCUGUUUGUGGUGGGUGUGAUGCUGGGUGUGUGUUCAGUGAUGGGGCUGCCCUGGUUUGUGGCAGCUACAGUGCUUUCUAUCUCACACGUGAACAGCCUGAAGCUGGAGUCUGAGAGCUCAGCCCCAGGAGAGCAGCCUAAGUUUCUUGGCAUCAGAGAACAGCGGUUUACUGGCCUUAUGAUUUUUGUCCUGAUGGGAAGCUCUGUCUUCAUGACCUCCAUUCUUAAGUUUAUUCCCAUGCCUGUGCUGUAUGGAGUGUUUCUUUACAUGGGAGCAUCAUCAUUACGAGGAAUACAGUUCUUCGACAGGUUGAGGCUGUUUGGGAUGCCAGCUAAGCACCAGCCAGACUUCAUCUACCUGAGGCAUGUUCCUCUGCGGAAGGUUCACCUGUUCACCCUCAUCCAGCUCAGCUGCUUGGUGCUCCUCUGGAUCAUUAAAACGUCCCGUGCCGCCAUUGUCUUUCCUAUGAUGGUUCUUGCUCUGGUAUUUAUCCGGAAGCUGCUGGAUUUUAUCUUUACUAAGAGAGAGUUGAGCUGGCUGGAUGACCUCAUGCCAGAAAGUAAGAAAAAGAAAAUGGAGGAUGCAGAAAAAGAGGAGGAGCAAAGUAUUCUGGCAGAAGAAGAGGGAGUAGUACAAGUGCCGUUGGAAGGACAUUACAAGGAUGAUCCUUCAUCUGUGAACAUCUCGGAUGAGAUGUCUAAAGCCUCAUUUGGAAACACUUGGAAGGCUGUCAGCUCUGAUGGCUCAAAAAAGUGAACCAUCGACAAAAAGCAUCAGCCUCCAUCUUAAGCUGUUUUUCUUACUCUCCUAGUUGCUGAGCACUUAAGUUUACACACGGCCUGCAGUGGCAGUGGAAGGCAAGGACAUGAAAGAAAAGAAAGCUUCAACAUAACGACAAGCUUCUGACCUGCGUCUCCUUCACUGUGGUCUCACACACAAACACACACUGAUAUCAUGUGCCACAUGUUCUGCUCCUAUAUGGCUUGUCUUGUGCGUGUUUGUCUCAGUCUUUUCAGUCCUUUCCCUUUAGUGCUUAGAAUAGUUUUUUUUUAAAUAAUUUCUAAAUACUGUAUGCAUGGUUGAAAAAUUGUCAAUCUCUUUAUUUAUAUGUCCAUUUUCUGUUUACUAAAAUAUAACAAAACCAGCAGAUGAAGGUGAGGAAUGGUGACUCUGUGAAAGUUAUGCAGCGUGUGUGUUGGAAAACUUUGAAACUAUUCUAAAGACUAUUUUUGAUUUUAAAUGGAUUUAUAUGUAUUUUCUAUGUUUUGUAUUUGUAAAUGUUACAGUCUUCUUCCUGUUAUCCAACAUAAUACUAAACUAAACUAGAAACUGAAACAAAUAUUCAAAAGACUAAUAGUAGAUUUAACUCAUGAACAUCCGUGUUAAGAGUUGGUACUAUACACAUACAUUCUUUAUCAUCGUCAUUUUUAUUAUUAUUAAUGCUGGAUGUAUCAACUGUCAUUAUUAAAAUUUUCUUUCUUUUUGAGGUAGAAUAAAUGGCAAACUAUAGUACUGUAUAUUAUUUUGUUAUAAGAGUAUUACCUCAGAAUAGAGGCUUAGGCUAUUACAUUGCAAUUAAAAAAGAUUUUAUCAUUUUAAUUAUGUAUUUGCUAUAUUUUCAGAUGAUAAUACUGCAUAUUGAGACGUGUAUCUGAUUUCUGUUGAUCUAUCUAGAGAAUGAUUUUGUAGGUUGCGUGUUGAUUCUGUCAAUAUGCCAAAGACCAAAUAGAUUUUCCUGAUAGCUGGGUCAUUGAGCAUCUCCGAUUAAAUAAUACCACAUGGCAGUUUCUCAGUACCAGUAUUUUAUACACAGGAACAUUCUGAAGCUUUAUUUCUGUGUUGUGGGAAGCAAAACUGGCACAGAAAUGACAGAAAUUUGCUAUAAAUAUUCUGAAGGGCAUUUCUCUACAGGUCAUAUUCUCCAGCUCAAGGUUUUUCUCAAAGAAUCUAUCAAGGGCAUAAUAUAACUUGAGAAUAAAUGCAAUAUUAAUCUAGAAGGGCAAAAUUAAAGGUGAUUUAUAAGUGUGGAAUCAUUUUGUAAAUACAUUUUCACCUGUACAUUUACACCUGCACUUUUAGGAUUUACUAUUUUUUUUCUUAAAAGUAGAGUAAUCAAAAUUAGCAUUCUUUAGUAGGGUGAUAUGCUUUGUCUUGUUUUGAUGUUUGUGGACGUUGAAUAAGCAGUUACAAUAAGCAUUUUUUUUCCCAUGAGGGAAUAUAAACCAGUGGUUACAUAUUUUCCAUCUAAUAUUUCAUUAAUUUAUUGAAAUAGAUUUGUUUUGACUUGUUAAAAUGUUAAAAUAGCAUUUUAAAAUUCUAUGUACAAGCUGUUUAGAUGUUAUUGUUUCUUGAAUGUAUUGAAUGUAUGGCUAAUAAAUAAAUCCGUAUAAUCUCUGAA
Pangasianodon hypophthalmus (striped catfish) is the source of this 5317-nucleotide RNA transcript. It is a transcript of the gene named solute carrier family 4 member 10b, with no coding region annotated. NCBI's taxonomy places the organism in Eukaryota, Metazoa, Chordata, Actinopteri, Siluriformes, Pangasiidae. The transcript is spliced from 28 exons. The record is from RefSeq and is a predicted model, not a curated record.